Non-coding RNA from Schistosoma curassoni, 46 nucleotides. The record is from Rfam. Lineage: Eukaryota; Metazoa; Platyhelminthes; Trematoda; Strigeidida; Schistosomatidae.
GCACUCCUGAGGAGUCCCAUACUAGGACGAAACGGCCGUCCAGUGC